UCCUUGGAGGUCCAGUGGUCAAGACUCUGCAGUCCCAAUACAGAGAGCACAGGUUCAAUCCCUGGUCAGGGAA
RNAcentral lists this transfer RNA (73 nucleotides) under Bos taurus (domestic cattle). It matches the Rfam family "tRNA". Rfam says of the family: Transfer RNA (tRNA) molecules are approximately 80 nucleotides in length. Their secondary structure includes four short double-helical elements and three loops (D, anti-codon, and T loops). Further hydrogen bonds mediate the characteristic L-shaped molecular structure. tRNAs have two regions of fundamental functional importance: the anti-codon, which is responsible for specific mRNA codon recognition, and the 3' end, to which the tRNAs corresponding amino acid is attached (by aminoacyl-tRNA synthetases). tRNAs cope with the degeneracy of the genetic code in two manners: having more than one tRNA (with a specific anti-codon) for a particular amino acid; and 'wobble' base-pairing, i.e. permitting non-standard base-pairing at the 3rd anti-codon position. The record is from Rfam by way of RNAcentral. Lineage: Eukaryota; Metazoa; Chordata; Mammalia; Artiodactyla; Bovidae. RNAcentral also lists the same sequence under 2 other names.